AUCAAAUUAAAAAAUAGGGAAGGGGGAAAAAAAUGAAAAAUUUCUCAGUCUAUAUGAUUCUUUUAGUUGCCCUCCUCAUGACAUCAGGCAAUGAGGUAAUGGUGGUGGAUGCUGGAAAAUGUACAGAUAUACUUGACAAUGGAAAAAAUUGCACUGCCAAUGGUUGUCAAGGUGAUUGUGAGGCGGUAUUUGGAUUACCUGUUAAAGGACAAUGCAUUUCUAAGUUAGAAUGUCAAUGUACUUAUCCUUGUUAAUUUUGUGUAAUUUUCAAUAUUUAAGGUUUUAACAAUAAAAGACUGAUCUAUAGAUCAUUUUGUUUUUUA
Mangifera indica (mango) is the source of this 323-nucleotide long non-coding RNA. RefSeq lists it as uncharacterized. The record is from RefSeq and is a predicted model, not a curated record. NCBI's taxonomy places the organism in Eukaryota, Viridiplantae, Streptophyta, Magnoliopsida, Sapindales, Anacardiaceae. The transcript is spliced from 2 exons.